CCCACCCCAUCUUAUAGGGAAAGACUAGCUGAAGGAGGCCUGGGUUCGAUGCCUGGCUGCAGGUUAGACAACUGGCUGCAGGACCUUGGAGCCAGUCGCUCAGCCACGCUCAGCCCCACCUUCCCAUCUGCGCAAUGCAGUGAUCGCCAUGCCCGCUUUGGAGACUCGGAAAUCAGACGCUCUACGCGGAGGGGUCCAGCGUGGGGCAUAUACAGCCCGGCGCAUGUGUGGUCCUCAGUAGCUGCUUACUCGAUCUGCAAGUGAAAUUUAAUUCCAGAAAUAGGACGAGCUGUGGAGAUGGUGGUGAAGGAACAGCCACGGGAACGCAGAGCGCCCUGAUCUGAAGCUGAGGAGGUAUGAACGCAAGUGAGGCUGGGGUCCGAACGCCUCACCCCGUUCCUCAGGGCAGUGCCCACUGGCCCAUCACACAAGGUGCGGGAGGAGGACCAUCUGACCACUAGUCACAUGGUGAGACAUCAAGACUGAGAACUGUAUCCAGCGCCCUUAAACCUCCUCCAUCCUUGAGUAGGAACAGACGCUUUCCCUCAGCUGCAUCUGGCCAAGGGCUUCACCACCAGCCUAGCUUCAGCUGGGACGGCUUUGGCUGCAAGUAACACCUGAGCAAACCCGGCUCAAACAAUAGAGGCUAAUGAGGAGUCUGGAGGUUGGAGGUUCCAGGCUGGGUUCACAGGGCGCAGGUCACAUCCUCCAAGAGUCCAUUGUGUUGACCUCGCCUUCCCGCUUGUAAGAUGGCAGCUACAGGUAUCGCUUCCCCAAGCACCAACAUCCCAUGACCCCAAGCUGGGGGAGGGUGCUUCUCAUCUAAAUCAAGUCCCCAGAAGACUUUCCUCAAGUUCCAGCGGCCAGAACUGGGUCACAGGCCCAGCCCUAAAACGAUCGUUGGCAAAGGAGAGAGAGCUGAGCUGGAGGCGGACCCCCACCGAGGACACGGCACCCAUACCUGAGCACAUUUGGGGUUCUGCUGGAAGGAAGAUGGCGGGAGCGGACGUUCAGUUGGAAACCAGCUGAGCUGCCAGGCCUUGUUGGGAUUUUGGGGUUUCAGCUUCUGCAUUAUUUUUAACUGGAGAUAUUAUACUGUCAAAACAAGUGAGUCAUCAUGCCCUUCUGACAGGAGCCUGGUGGAUUAUUAGUACUUCCAUCCAAAUUCCCAGGGAGACACAGGUGCAUGGAUGGGACGAGGAAAGGCACUGCACUACGCAUGAGAGAAACAGUCCCUAAAACAUUAAGGGAAAAAAUGAACUGAAUUGUCCAGAUACUUCGUGGGCUGCCCCAACAGAAAGUGGGAGCUUCUCCUGGCCCCUACUGGUCACUGAAAUGGUUCAAAAAGCCUUGAGAACACCAGGCAGGGGACAGGUUACUGGCAUUCUGACCCUAGAUGAGCUUGGCCUCAGUUUCCUCAUUUGUAAAAUCAGCAUUUGGUGUCAAGGGUCAAGAUCCUUGCCUCUCUGAUCCUCCGUGACUCAACCUUGAACCAUAAAUGACAAGCAGGACCUGAGGCUUGAAACCAGCAGUGUCCUGGGUCCUGGUAGUUCCCUCUAGACUGAUGGAGAUACUGCAGGGAUGAUGGUGAUGGUACCCAGCACACUGAGCACGUGCUGAGUGCCAGGCAUUGUUCUACGUGUGUUAUCUCGCUUAAUUCCCUCAACAAUCCUAUGGAAUGAUUACUUUUUUUAUGCCCCUGUAACAGAGGAGGAAACUGAGGCUUAGGGAGGCUCCUGCCUAUGUUCACCUCUCAUGGACUAAAUUACAUUCCUCCAGAAUUCAUCUGUUGAAUCCGUAACCCCUACUGUGAGCGUGUUAGGAGAUAGGCCCUUUAAAGAGGUAGCUAGAGUUAAAUGAGGUCGUAAGGAUGGGGCCCUAAUUCAGCGUGACCGAUGUGCUUAGAAGAAGAGGAAGAGACAGCAGGGAUGCACACCGAGGAGAGCCCAUGUGAGGAAAUGGUGAGAAGGUGGCCAUCUGCAAGCCAUGGAGAGAGGCCUCAGAAGAAAGCAGACCUGCCCACACCUUGACCUUGCACUUCUAGCCUCAGAACUGUGAGAGAAUAAACUUCUGGCGUUUAAGCCACUCAGCCUGUGGGAUUUUGUUACGGCAGCCCGAGGACUAACCCAUCACCCCACGGCAGAGCCAACAUUGGAACCAGGCAGUCCGACUUCAGAGCCACCUUCUUAAGGACCUCGUCAUCUACAAUGGAACCCUCUAAUUGGAGAGGAGGGUAAUAGAUAGCCUCAUGGCUGGGUCUGCAUGUACAAAGUAUACAGAUUGCCAGAUCCCAGCCCCUCCCUCCUUACUCAACAAAAGACAGUCCGUUCAGGACCAGCCAAGACCCAUGUUUUGCGUGGAAAUCAUCACAGGGAAAUAGAAGCCAGAGUUCAGUGGGUGUCUAGAACCAGCUGGCUAACUUGUAGAGCUGGGUCCUGCCUACAAUGCCUAUAGGCACCAAGGGGAUUUCAAUCAGAGGUUUUAAAUGGUAUCACCAUCUGCUUCCCAGGCAACAAUCUUGAAUGCUGCCCGAAACGAACAGUCCUGGACUUAAAUCGUCUCUUCCCCAGGAGUGGGAUCUUAGGCAAGUCACUUCACCCUUUGAGCCUCAGUUUCCCCAUCUGUCACAUAAUCAUUCGGGCUCUGCAGCAGUGCCGUGAGGAUAAAGAGGUUAACCUGUGGGCAAGAGCUUCGCAGAUGGUGUUAAUUCAGGAACACCCAACCAGAGGGACAACCUGAAAUCCCUUAGCUUCAUCAAAGCAAAACUUACAGCUACAAAUCCCCUGGCAGGCAGCCGCCAGUCCUUUCUAGAAGGAGCUGGGUAUAAAUUAUAGAUCACAGCCUAUCAGAUCAGCUGCUGUUCUGGUUCUGACCUCCCUGCGGGCAGGAAUCUAGGCUGGCUCCCUCAAAGCGCCUCCCAGGGCCCCGGAGAUCUCUGCUACCCCUGCAGUGCCUACCUCUUGCCCCCAGCUUUCCUUCCCCCAAAGACAAAUGCUCCUUGGCCUAGGGAUGAGGGGACUCCCAGAAGGACUCCCAGAAAGCAGCCCUCCCAUCGGCUUCCAAAGUUUAGAGCUGGCCACCACCGGAACCCCAAACCCCAGCCCCGCUGAGCACGCCCACUGCAUCCUCCAUCCCCCAGGAGAGGCUUCAUCCCAGGAUGGGAGAGGAGCAGAAUGCCCUGGGGGAAUUUUGUGUUUGAUGUUGGGAGCCAGCAAGAGGCUGUGGUGAAAGCAGCCGAGUUUUUAUCGGCAGGGCCUGCCCGCCUGAGGGGACCCAAUGAGAUCCCUUGCUUCCUUCCUGUGGCCGCUGCCCUCUCCACCUUCACUCACACACAUCUCGCCCAUGUUCCCAGGCCACACGCGGAACUGGGCUUCUCUCCCUUCCCCAGCCCCUCUCCAACGACUCUCCCAUGAGGGCUGGCUGAGCAAACUGCGCGUGAGUAGGGGAUGUCCAGGUCCAAGCGUUUCUUUACCUGGGAAACCUGGACAAGCAGAGCCCUGGAGCCAGAUGGCCAGGACCCCAACCAGCCUCUUCUUUUCCAGCCUCGCGACUUUGGACAAGUUACUCCCUCUCCAAGGCCUGUCGUCCUCGUCGGUAAAAAUGGAGACCCACUAAUACUCACGUCACCGGUGGGGGUUGUGAGGAUUAAAUGAGGAUGCAUAAAAAUGAGUGGCACAGCGCCUGGCAGGGAGUAAGCUUGAAACAGAGGUCAGCAAGCGCUGGUGCAGGGCGUGAAACAAGCAGGGCGGGAAGGGCACAAAAUGCAGGGGCCCGAGAGUGAGGGCUCCUUACAGUCUGUGGCCUGGGCCCCUUUCUUACCUCACUGAUAAUACUUGCACGGGAAGCAGAGAUACAAAAAGCCCUAAAUCACCCAAUAUUUGCAUCAGCCUUCAGGAAAGACAGACAGGUGCAGGGUGCAGUCUGCAGGGGGCGCAGUUCCUGGCUUUGGCUCCACUUCCUCAACUCGGUCCCACCUCUCAUCUGAAACGCCCUGUCAGUCGGUCCUUCCCUGCCGUCCUCAUCACAGAGCUGUGUGGGAACCCAAUGAGACAAGGAAGUGAAAGACCUUUGUAAACUACAGUAGACAGGACCACUCAAAAGAUGAUGCUCAUGCUUAGGAUCCUUAUUAGGUCCGGUGCGUCUUUCUCCCCUCUCCCUACCCGCUCCUGACAAGUGGAAGUCUCUCCAGGUGUUCAAAGUCUCCAUUAAAUCUAUUCGGUUGCCACUUGAUUCUCUUGCUUCAUAUCUUUGUAUUUGAGGAAAAGGAAAAUAGCACAUGUAUCCAAAAUAUGAGUCAGUCAUAAAGUGUUCUGUAGCCAGACCCAUUCAUCUUGCCUCCAUUUUAAUUUUUUAACUAAAAACCACAAAUCACUGACCACCACCUUCCAUGAAUUAAAUUGUAAGGAAACUUAGGAAACAGCUCGAAUUUUAGUCAAUAUUUGCCUUGGCCAUGAAAAAAAGAGCUUCCUUCUCUUGGCUGCCUCUAAUCAGGAGUGUUAAUUAUCUUGGUUACAUGCUAGCAAAUCAAUUAUGAACUAACGAAGUUAAAGGAGGUCACUUGUUAAGGAAAACUGAUUACAUGUUGUCGGCUCUGGGGGA
Molecule: long non-coding RNA, 4599 nt
Filed under: Equus asinus (donkey)
Lineage: Eukaryota; Metazoa; Chordata; Mammalia; Perissodactyla; Equidae
Description: lncRNA (ENSEASG00005026400.1)
Source: RNAcentral